Molecule: small RNA, 81 nt
Filed under: Flavobacterium hercynium
Lineage: Bacteria; Pseudomonadati; Bacteroidota; Flavobacteriia; Flavobacteriales; Flavobacteriaceae
Description: Flavo-1 RNA
Rfam family: Flavo-1 RNA
Source: Rfam by way of RNAcentral
UCCUAGCCCCGAUGGGAGUGGAAAUCCUUUGACUUUUUGCUGCCAAAAAGACAAAGAUUGUAGCAGACAGCGGGAAAUAGC